This 683-nucleotide unclassified non-coding RNA is filed under the name bacterium GI960. Its description in RNAcentral is "partial contains 16S ribosomal RNA, 16S-23S ribosomal RNA intergenic spacer, and 23S ribosomal RNA". The stretch from base 1 to 155 matches the Rfam family "Bacterial small subunit ribosomal RNA", at positions 1380 to 1533 of the family's 1533-position model. The record is from RNAcentral.
CUUGUACACACCGCCCGUCAAGUCACGAAAGUUGGUAACACCCGAAGCCGGUGGCCUAACCCUUGUGGGGGGAGCCGUCGAAGGUGGGACUGGCGAUUGGGACUAAGUCGUAACAAGGUAGCCGUACCGGAAGGUGCGGCUGGAUCACCUCCUUUCUAAGGAGCACAGUGGCUGGCCGUGUGGCCGGCGCCCACGAUCCUCCACCGUUGUGGUGGGGGUGUGGUUGAUGCUCAUGGGUGGAAUAUCAGCAAGCGGACACGCUGCUCCCUGACACGGGAACACGACCGGGCACAGUCCUGGUGGUGGUGUUGGGGUGGUGGUGUGGUGGCACAUUGUUGGGUUGUCGAUCAACACGCUGGUGUUGGUUGGUUUCCCGCAGCACCACGAAGCUGGGACGGUUGUUCUGGUGGGGUGGUGCUGGUGGGUUGUUGUUUGUCAACUACAUAGUGGACGCGAGCAUCUUUGACGCCGCGCACCCUGUUGGGGUGUGUGGUGUGUUCUUUGAUGAUUUAUUUGUGUUGUGUGGCGUAUAAGUUGUUACGAGCACACGGUGGAUGCCUUGGCAUCAGGAGCUGAUGAAGGACGUGGAAAUCUGCGAUAAGCCUCGGGGAGCUGAUAAACGAGCUGUGAUCCGAGGGUCUCCGAAUGGGGUAACCCGGCUGCGUGUUAUGCGUAGUCACUCG